ACCCCCUCAGCGCCGUUUCCACAAAAAAGACCAAACCCCUCUUUCUUCUUCUUUAUUUUCUCCACACGACACACAGAUCAGAGACCCAAAAAGAUGAAGCACCUUUCCUCUAUCCCCACUCUGUCCACUAUCGUAGAGUGCAAAUAACUGACAUAUUUGCUUAAAACCCUCUUUCCAAUUUUUUCUUUCUUCCUUUUAAAACACUUUUCAAAGGUGAAUACUGUACAACUUCAAGAAUCUAUUGAAGCAUUAAUUAACAACUAAAAAAGAUGGAGGAAAAUGGUAUAGCAAGCGAUGUAGCUCGACCUAUUGUGGCUGCCCUUGAUUGGAACUCUUCUCCCGAUGCUCGUAAAGCCGUUUAUUCCUAUUUAGGAUCCAAGUUGUCGAAGCUCUAAUUGGAGCUGUCUUGCUGCGAUUGUUGUUUGUUGUGGAUGGGAAAUUGCUGCUGAGCUUCGUUUCGCUUUUCCUUCGUUUCUUUUAAAAUACAAGGUACACAAUUGAUUUGUUGAACCUUGUAAGUCUGAAAUUUGAAGCAUGAAUAUGAAAUGAAGAACUGAAGUUUUAACAUUUAGCUUUGUAUAUUCUGAAAUUUUAAGUUGUGUAAUAUAGUAGUUAGUUUCAUCUGUUAAAAGCAUGUAGUAGCUUUGCUAUGUACAACUGAGUAUCGAGCAGUAGUAUUGGAUAGACUGCCCUGCAUGUUAGUUUAAAGAACCAAUAAUGUAGUGGUAGCAUUCUGAUAUUUCAGUUUAUUUCUUUACAAAGCAUGUUUCAAAUACGUAUAAAGACUUUAGGUUAAUUAAUCAGUA
Long non-coding RNA from Nicotiana tabacum (common tobacco), 806 nucleotides. RefSeq lists it as uncharacterized. The record is from RefSeq and is a predicted model, not a curated record. NCBI's taxonomy places the organism in Eukaryota, Viridiplantae, Streptophyta, Magnoliopsida, Solanales, Solanaceae.